GCCCCUUUAGCUUAACGGAUAAAGCGCAGGCCUCCGGAGCCUGAGAUGGAAGUUCGAUUCUUCCAAGGGGCA
RNAcentral lists this transfer RNA (72 nucleotides) under Candidatus Omnitrophota bacterium. RNAcentral's name for it is "tRNA-Arg". It matches the Rfam family "tRNA". Rfam says of the family: Transfer RNA (tRNA) molecules are approximately 80 nucleotides in length. Lineage: Bacteria; Pseudomonadati; Candidatus Omnitrophota. The record is from RNAcentral.